RNAcentral lists this ribosomal RNA (253 nucleotides) under uncultured bacterium. Its description in RNAcentral is "partial 16S ribosomal RNA". It matches the Rfam family "Bacterial small subunit ribosomal RNA", at positions 524 to 776 of the family's 1533-position model. The record is from RNAcentral.
UACGGGGGGGGCAAGCGUUGUUCGGAAUUACUGGGCGUAAAGGGCUCGUAGGCGGCCAACUAAGUCAGACGUGAAAUCCCUAGGCUCAACCCAGGAACUGCGUCCGAUACUGGUUGGCUUGAAUCCGGGAGAGGGACGUGGAAUUCCAGGUGUAGCGGUGAAAUGCGUAGAUAUCUGGAGGAACACCGGUGGCGAAGGCGACGUCCUGGACCGGCAUUGACGCUGAGGCGCGAAAGCCAGGGGAGCAAACGGG